GUUUAUUGAAUUGAAUGAAUUUAAAACAAACUUUAAUAAUACAUUGAACGUACCCUUUUGAAACGAAUGAAAACAAAUACUUUAUUUACUCGUAAAUUACUUUUUCUGUUCAUCAUCUCUCCCUUUUUCUAGAAAAAACGAUUUAAACCAAACCUUCUCUCUUUCUCUGCGAAAUCCAACACGACUAAAAAUAUGGGAACCAAAUGGUGUUCGUCUUCAUCAAGCCCAAAUUUUAGAAGCUAAAUAAUCCCCAAAGCAAAUUACUCAAACCCUAGCCGCAUAACAUUUUAAAAAAAAAAUCUCAACAUCAACCACAAUCAACUAUAAUUAGUCUGAAAUCCUAAAGCCUAGGAGAAAAAUAGGGGCUUCGGUGGUGAGAAGAUUGAUAUGAAAGGAAUAAGUCUCACCGGAGCUUCGCAACUCCGGCGAGAUCCCGACGGUCGAAGAAAUACCUCAGGUUGAUUGAGCUUUGGUGUGUAGGUUGGGAUGUGAUUUCAGCAGGGUGACGGUGCCAGAAGGGAGAGGCCUUUCAAUGAAUGAGCGCUCCCUUUUAUAGAGUUUAAUACGAGGUUCAAUCCGCUCCUCCUUCAUGAGCUUGCAAAUCUUUGGAUGAAUCAAUCCGUUAGCCAAAAGAAUCUCGUCCAGAUUUGGUGGUCCUCCCUUUUGACGUGGUCCCCAAAAUGAAGGUUUUGGGUUAACUAAUGCCAUGAGGAAAAGACACUCACUUAAAUGGCCGUUUGGACUGUUGUGAAUGGUGAACUGACAUGACAGAAUACUAUUUGGCCAGUUCAGUUACCACUGAUGCACUGCAGGUUAUUACCAUGAAUUCACACAUUGAUGCAGGGUGGUAAACUCUUCAUGUUGCAGAGUGGUGGUGAUUUAAAUGGUCAAGCGGAGAUUGAGGCCGUUUGCGAGUCUGUAGCCCGUGUACGUCCAGCCUUCAGUAAACAGUUCAGAACAUGAGGUUAUGUUCUUAUUAUCCUCGCACUCAUUGAUUGAAUCAUUGUUGAAUUGUGGUAUGCAUUAUCUGUUUGGAUUGUGGACCCUGCAUUGGUAUGCUCUAACACCGUCCUCAUCUGUUCAUGAUUUGCUUUGCUUUGAUUUAUGCCUUUCUUGCUUAUCAUGUUAAGCUUGUUCGUCGCAGACUUGCAGGAUUCAUAUUGGUGGCAUGACGAAUUCUUAUUCACUGCCUUGGUUGUGAAAAGCGACUUUUGUGUUCUUUUGGCUUAUGUUACCGUAGAAUUUGCAGCAAUUGGUGAUACUAUUCCGUCUUACAAUACCAAUCCAUUGUUGACUGGUUCUUCAUGUCUUGUUGACUUAGUUUUUUUUGUUUUGAGCUCUGCAAGGCACAUGUUGUUAUGACCAAGGUAGUCAAACUCGAGAUCCUACGCAAGAUCGGGUUGGGAUAAUUAGAUCGUGAAUCGGGGGAUCGUAACACGGAUCGUAAGAUCCUACCAAAUUUAAAAAUUCACAUAUAUUUUGCAUAUAGAUUAAUAAUAUGCAUAUGACACUACAUAAUAUGAAAAUAAAAUUCAAAUAACACUAAAAUUACUUUUAAAAACUGAAAUUUCAUAGGAUAAUAUUCAUUAAAACUAAUUCAAGACAAUUCCAAAACACCACAACAUUCAAAACAGUAGCAAAUAAUAAUUGAAAACUCAUAAGAAAAACUUAAUGAAAAUUCACUCAAUUUCCAAACAAGUCAUGUUGGAGUUGGUCAUAAUCAUUCAAUGGAUCAUCAUUGUCUUCAUUAUCUCCUUCAUCUUCAUUUUCAUCUUCAAAGUCAUCAUCAAAUUCAUUUUCAUCUAUCCCUCUAUCAUGUUCAUCUUCCAAAUCAUGAACAAAAAUAUCAUCCUCUUGAAUUUGUUCUUGAUUCAUUUGAAUAAAGUCUUCAUCCGAAAUUUCAAUGUCGCCGUCUUCGUCCAUAAGCCAAUCAUCAUCAGAUCCAAGGUCAUCUAACUCUAUCUCAAAUGUUCUUCUCCCUUUCUUUUUUUUGGACAAUCUUGAAUUAGCCAUGACAAAUACAACAUCAUUCAUCAUUUUUUGUUUCAAGCGGUUCCUUCUUUUUGUAUGGACCUUAAUUACAGUAAAUGAAAAAAAAUUAACAUAAGCAAGAUGAAAGCCUUAUACAAUUAAUUAUAAAUUCUUAAAGUCUCACCAUCUCAAAAGCACUCCAGUUUCGCUCACAACCCGAUGAACUGCAUGUCAAGCUGAGUAUGCGGAUAGCAAAUCUUUGCAGUUCUGGACACUCAAACCCAAUUGAAUCCCACCAAUCUGCCGGAGUAGAUUUUUCAAGUGUUCGUUUGGCCAAUUCUGUGCCAAAAUACCCUAAUUGUUUCUUAAAGUCAUGCAUUUGGACUUCAAUCUUAGCCUGUUCUUCAGGAUCAUCCACCAUUUUAGUUAAGCAGUCCAUUAAACCUUUUCUAACCUCAAUAUCAGCUUUGAAUCUAGAGCCGUAAUGCAUCUGUGGGUUGAGAUAAUAGGCUGCAGCAUGUAGUGGUCUAUGUAGCAUUGUGUCCCAUCUAUCAUCAAUGAUAUUCCAAAUAGACUUGUAACUACAAAUUAUAAUAAUUUGAGUUAUUUUUAACAUUUGAUAUCAAGUACAGACACAAAUACGUGAAUAAAGUUAAAUAAAACAAAGAUACCUUUUUUUUACACCAUUAAAAUUCUUUUGAAUUUCCUCCUUUGCUUGGUCUAUUGCCUCAUAGAUUAAUCCCAUGGCUGGUUUUUGAUCUGAAUCAACUAAACGAAGCACUUUAAUGAGAGGUGUAGCACCCCUCAAACAAACAACAAUAUUCUUCCAAAAACUUUUGUCCAAAACCACAUCUUCAAUGGCUUUUCCAUCUCUUAACUUUGCACAUUUGCUCAAUUUCCAUUCUUUGGAAGUGAACAUUCUUAUCAAAGCUUCCUUGUUCUCAUACAAGCACCCUAAAGUAAGGUAAGACGUGGCAAAUCGAGUAGCGCCUGGCCUCACCAAAUCUUUGUUUUUUGUAUGAUGAUGCAAAAUAGAAAUGAGAGAAGUUCUUGAAUAAAUAAAAGUUGUAAUUUUUUUACCCUUUGGAAUUGUCUCUUCAUGAACCGAUAUCUUCUUCUCCAAAUCUUCAAGCAUCAAAUCAAGACAGUGUGCGGCACAAGGUGUCCAAUAUAAUUUUUUCCUCUUUCGCAUCAGCAUCUCACCGGCAGCCUUGUAGUUUGCCGCAUUAUCUGUCACGACCUGAACAACAUUGUCUUCUCCAACCUCUUCAACAACAGCAUCAAUCAUUUCAAAGAUUUUGUCGGCUGUUUUGCAUAUGUUAGAUGCAUCAACAGACUUCAAAAAUACAGUACCCUUUGGACUAUUAACCAAAAAAUUCAAAAUUGUCCUCCUCUUCCGAUCAGUCCAUCCAUCGGUCAUUAUGGUGCAUCCAAUAUUCCUCCAUUCCUUUCUAUGUUCUUCCAAAGCUUCAUGUGUUAACUUAAUUUCUUGAUUUAACAACUUAAUUCUCAAGUCAUGAUAAGAUGGUGGUUUGAAUCCAUUAUCAUGUCUUGAAAUCAUAUCACACAUGAUAGUGAACUCCUCACUCCUUGCUACAUUGAAUGGUAUGGCAUUAUUGUAAAAAAACCUUGCAAUUGCUUGACAUGCAUCAUCUCUUAAACCCUUCUUUAGAACUGCAUUGAUGCUAGGUUGUGAGCUGAAACACCUUUUCUUAAAUAUGUUUCCAGAGUUGUUACUGCUCAUUCUUUUUGAGCAUGCCUCUGACAUCUCUUCCUCCACCAUUGCCUCUGUUUUUUUAAUCAAAUUUUCUUGCAAUCUUGAACAAACCUGCAGUAUUUCUCUCUUGAUUUCAUCUGGGACAGCCUUACAUGCUUCAACAUCUUUUUGAGUUCCAGCCAAGUGAUGCUUUAGCCUGUAGACUCCUCCAGUUACCUUUUUUUGACAAUACUUGCAUUGGAUUUUUCUUGGAUUAUCCGGAUCAGCAAUGCCAUGUUUCCAUGCCAUAUCAGUUCGGUUACCAGGAGCAUUUUUUGGUAGUGUUUUCUGGCGUGGUGGUGGUGCAAUUGCAGGGGGAGCAGUGAGAGCACCAAUAACUAAAGUUCCAACAGCAGAACUUGAAGCCAUGGGAGAAAGGUUGGAUUUUUUUUAAUAGAGAAUGAAAGGUUGUUUUACCGUGAAAGAGGUGAAAGAGAAGAUAGAUAGAGUGAGACAACAGAUUUAUUUAAAUGGAGAGAGGUGAAAUAGUUUAAUGUGAAUAAAUUGGAAUGAAUAAAUAUAUUUUGGGAAGUGGAAUAAAUUCAUAAUUAUUUGGUGGCUGAAUAUUAAUUACUCUUAAACCCUAGUUAUUAGGCUGAAAAUGAAAUGAAUCGUUUCAGAUUUAAAAAAUAUUUUUUAAAGGGAGCUUUAAACAAAAACGGAAUUUUUCAUUAGAAACGGCGAUUCUACCGUUUUCACGUGUUAUCACGGCGAUUCUGCCCGUGCCUACCAAAAAACGAUUCUGAUCAUACUCUGGCACGGUGGAUAGCUGUAAGAUCGUAAAAUCGUACGAUCCUACGAGUAGGAUCGCGAUUUUGACUACCAUGGUUAUGACUGUUGAGUUGGUAUUGACGACAUCGCUACCUUUGAGCUAACUCAUUGCUUCUCAUAGCCCUUGAUUUGGGUUGAUCCGAAAACUGCAUAGGCUAGGUUUGUUGGCUUCAAUGCAGGUUUCUAGGUUGCUUAAGAUUUGCGCUGUCUUGUGUGACUCAUGCUGGCACAAUACUACUUGAGGCCUCUUUUCAACCAAACUUUCCAUCUUUAGGAAAUAACCAUACCAUUAAGUCGAAGGAAAUGACAAGGAAAUGAUGGUGUUGCAGGUGAAACAGAUAUUUGCUGUGAUGAACUUUGUUAUUGACCUUAUGUGUGGUUUUGUAUGUGUUGUCAUGAUGCUUAGGACAUGGGAUUUACGGUGCGGAAGGCCAUGGCAUGCUGCAGAUCUAAUGCAUCUGUCUUGGAUGCUGAUGCAGGCUGGACUGUUGAAGAUGUUCCUUAUAGUAACAGAGUUGCUUUGGCUGGUUUAGAUCAAUUUAUCACCAGGAAUGCCACUUUGACAAAUGAGAAAGAAGUUGAUGCACACCCUAUUCGUGCUAUGAAGUUUUCUGUUGCCUGUUGUGUGUGUUGCUGUUCAGUGCACGGUUGAUUUAGAUUCAAAGCUUGUUGAAGGUCUCAAGCGUCUUCCUAAGUCAGAUCCUAUGGUUGUUUGAUACGCUAUGACUAUGCUAGCUAUUCUAAAAAUCAAUUUGUACUUAGCCUGAUACAAUUUGAAUAAGUAUAUAAUUGAAGAGGAACUGACUUCAAUCCGGGGAAACCAAGCUUUCAACAUAGUUAUGCGGAUACAUCCACUUGAAGUUGCUCAAUCUAAUUUUUUCUAUUGUAUUAUCACUCCAAUUAUAUAGAAUCACUUCCAAUCCACGCCGACGACUAGCUAGUACUAGUGCGAUGCCAUCCUCAUAAAGGCAUACUGGGCCAGAAAAUAUUUAUAUUUAAUACGAAUAUCCAAAUCCUGAUAGCUUAUUUUUAGUAAUUGAGUCCAUGACUUCUCAAUUCCAAAUUCCUUCAUCUUCCAUAUAAUAAAAUGAGUUUUCUGAGUAUGGUGACAAAAACAAAGACAGUCCCCCAAAACAUA
This is a long non-coding RNA of Lathyrus oleraceus (garden pea), 5636 nucleotides long. RefSeq lists it as uncharacterized. The transcript has 5 exons. The record is from RefSeq and is a predicted model, not a curated record. NCBI's taxonomy places the organism in Eukaryota, Viridiplantae, Streptophyta, Magnoliopsida, Fabales, Fabaceae.